GACGAACGCUGGCGGCGUGCUUAACACAUGCAAGUCGAACGGAAAGGCCCUGCUUUUGUGGGGUGCUCGAGUGGCGAACGGGUGAGUAACACGUGAGUAACCUGCCCUUGACUUUGGGAUAACUUCAGGAAACUGGGGCUAAUACCGGAUAGGAGCUCCUGCUGCAUGGUGGGGGUUGGAAAGUUUCGGCGGUUGGGGAUGGACUCGCGGCUUAUCAGCUUGUUGGUGGGGUAGUGGCUUACCAAGGCUUUGACCGGUAGCCGGGCUGAGAGGGUGACCGGCCCAACUGGGACGGGGAUAAGGCCCAGACUACUCCGGGAGGCGGCGGUGGGGAAGGGUGUAUAAUGGGCGGAAGCCUGAUGCAGCAACGCAGCGUGGGGGAUGACGGCCUUCGGGUUGUAUACCGCUUUCGCCUGUGCCGAAGCGUGAGUGACGGUAACGGGUAAAGAAGCACCGGCUAACUACGUG
RNAcentral lists this ribosomal RNA (468 nucleotides) under uncultured bacterium. Its description in RNAcentral is "partial 16S ribosomal RNA". It matches the Rfam family "Bacterial small subunit ribosomal RNA", at positions 28 to 507 of the family's 1533-position model. The record is from RNAcentral.